GAGCUUUCAAGUUAAACUUAUCUUUCCGAUAUUGAUUUUCAUCGAAUGAAAGAUUUUAGAACCGAUGUGAUUUCUACGUAAGCACUAAUUCACCCCUUGUCUUAGUGCCGACUUGGUCCUAACACUUUCAAGUUAAAUUCUUUCUGAUAUGAUUUCAUCAAAAAAAAAAAUUUUAAACUAUCAUUUUUAUCGUAAGCAUUAAUUCACCCCCUGUCCCC
RNAcentral lists this long non-coding RNA (218 nucleotides) under Musa acuminata (dwarf banana). Its description in RNAcentral is "long non-coding RNA (MACU_LNC008958)". The record is from RNAcentral. Lineage: Eukaryota; Viridiplantae; Streptophyta; Magnoliopsida; Zingiberales; Musaceae.